RNAcentral lists this ribosomal RNA (490 nucleotides) under Haemophilus sp. 'ARUP UnID 347'. Its description in RNAcentral is "bacterial SSU rRNA". It matches the Rfam family "Bacterial small subunit ribosomal RNA", at positions 27 to 506 of the family's 1533-position model. The record is from RNAcentral. Lineage: Bacteria; Pseudomonadati; Pseudomonadota; Gammaproteobacteria; Pasteurellales; Pasteurellaceae.
GAUUGAACGCUGGCGGCAGGCUUAACACAUGCAAGUCGAACGGUAACAGGGAUUAGCUUGCUAAUUUGCUGACGAGUGGCGGACGGGUGAGUAAUGCUUGGGAAUCUGGCUUAUGGAGGGGGAUAACUACGGGAAACUGUAGCUAAUACCGCGUAAAAUCUUCGGAUUAAAGGGUGGGACUUUCGGGCCACCUGCCAUGAGAUGAGCCCAAGUGGGAUUAGGUAGUUGGUUAGGUAAAGGCUGACCAAGCCGACGAUCUCUAGCUGGUCUGAGAGGAUGACCAGCCACACUGGAACUGAGACACGGUCCAGACUCCUACGGGAGGCAGCAGUGGGGAAUAUUGCACAAUGGGGGGAACCCUGAUGCAGCCAUGCCGCGUGAAUGAAGAAGGCCUUCGGGUUGUAAAGUUCUUUCGGUGACGAGGAAGGUUGGUAUGUUAAUAGCAUAUCAAAUUGACGUUAAUCACAGAAGAAGCACCGGCUAACUCCGU